Monodelphis domestica (gray short-tailed opossum) is the source of this 801-nucleotide long non-coding RNA. RefSeq lists it as uncharacterized. NCBI's taxonomy places the organism in Eukaryota, Metazoa, Chordata, Mammalia, Didelphimorphia, Didelphidae. The record is from RefSeq and is a predicted model, not a curated record.
CCUCUCCGAGCUCCCCGGAGAGCGCCCGUCCGCCUUCCCUGGCGGGUGGGAACCCCGCUCCCUGGGGCUCUCCACGAGGGGGGCCGAGUGCGCUCCGGGCGCCUGGGCACCGCGGCGGGGAGGAGCCCAGCCAGGCGUGCUGCGGGGACAGGUUCGGCGGGCCCCCAGUGUCCAGCUGGGAGAGGUCUGGCGGCCCUUCUGGGGCGGGACCGUGGGGGCGGGCGGGCGCUGUAGGUAAAGAAUUCUGCCCCCAGAACCACAGCUCAGGCCCAGCCCGCCCAGCGAGGAACGGACCCGUCCGCCUGUGGUUCUCGCCAGCCUAACGCCGACGCCACAGGUCCCUGCUGGAUGCCACCCCACCAGGAAGACCUCACCCUGCGUCCCCUCUCUGGGUUAGCCUGAGUAGCAGCAAUCAAAAGGCAAAACAGGCGAAAGUGACCCAGCUCAGUCUGGCAGAGAAUGCAGCACUGGGUCUCCAUAGCCCACCACCUCUCUGGUUCUCCUGGUGUUGCUCCUCUCACUCUGCAUCAGUUCCUGGAGGUCGUCCCAGUUCACAUGGAAUCCCUCCAGUUCAUCAUUCCUUUCAGCACAAUAGUAUUCUGUCACCAACAUGCACUGAAGAGCCAGCUCCCAAACCCCUUCUUUCCUCUCCCUGGCCCCCUAACCCCAGGAGUUCCUGUGCACUCCCUCUACCAUAAAAGUGUAUAAAAAGCCUGCAAGCCCCAAACUCAGAGCUCCAGCCAUUUUUAGAGUACUGAGCCCAAACUGCAGUUUGUUUAAUAAACUCCCUCCUGUGUGUUA